GACGAACGCUGGCGGCGUGCUUAACACAUGCAAGUCGAGCGAUGAACCCGGAGCUUGCUCCGGUGGAUUAGUGGCGAACGGGUGAGUAACACGUGAGUAACCUGCCCUUGACUCUGGGAUAACUGCGGGAAACUGUAGCUAAUACCGGAUACGACCCUCGGCGGCAUCGCCAGGGGGUGGAAAGAAUUUCGGUCAAGGAUGGACUCGCGGCCUAUCAGCUAGUUGGUGAGGUAACGGCUCACCAAGGCGACGACCGGUAGCCGGCCUGAGAGGGGGACCGGCCACACUGCGACUGCGACACGGCCCAGACUCGUACGGGGGGCAGCAGUGGGGACUAUUGGACAAUGGGCGCAAGCCUGAUGCAGCAGCGCCGCGUGAGGGAUGACGGCCUUCGGGUUGUAAACCUCUUUUAGUAGGGAAGAAGCGAGAGUGACGGUACCUGCAGAAAAAGCACCGGCUAACUACGUGCCAGCCGCCGCCGUAA
This 484-nucleotide ribosomal RNA is filed under the name uncultured bacterium. RNAcentral describes it as "partial 16S ribosomal RNA". It matches the Rfam family "Bacterial small subunit ribosomal RNA", at positions 28 to 523 of the family's 1533-position model. The record is from RNAcentral.